RNAcentral lists this ribosomal RNA (252 nucleotides) under uncultured bacterium. Its description in RNAcentral is "partial 16S ribosomal RNA". It matches the Rfam family "Bacterial small subunit ribosomal RNA", at positions 524 to 776 of the family's 1533-position model. The record is from RNAcentral.
UACGGAGGAUGCGAGCGUUAUCCGGAUUUAUUGGGUUUAAAGGGUGCGCAGGUGGCGUGUCAAGUCAGCGGUAAAAUGUCGGGGCUCAACCCCGGCCGGCCGUUGAAACUGGCGUGCUCGAGUUGGAGAGAAGUAUGCGGAAUUCGUGGUGUGGCGGUGAAAUGCAUAGAUAUCACGAAGAACCCCGAUUGCGAAGGCAGCAUACCGGCUCCACACUGACGCUGAGGCACGAAAGCGUGGGUAUCGAACAGG